GUGCCAGCAGCCGCGGUAAAACGUAGGUGGCAAGCGUUGUCCGGAAUUAUUGGGCGUAAAGCGCGCGCAGGCGGUUUCUUAAGUCUGAUGUGAAAGCCCACGGCUCAACCGUGGAGGGUCAUUGGAAACUGGGAAACUUGAGUGCAGAAGAGGAAAGUGGAAUUCCAAGUGUAGCGGUGAAAUGCGUAGAGAUUUGGAGGAACACCCAGUGGCGAACGACGACUUUCUGGUCUGUAACUGACGCUGAGGCGCGAAAGCGUGGGGAGCAAACAGGAUUAGAUACCCUGGUAGUG
RNAcentral lists this ribosomal RNA (293 nucleotides) under uncultured microorganism. Its description in RNAcentral is "partial 16S ribosomal RNA". It matches the Rfam family "Bacterial small subunit ribosomal RNA", at positions 505 to 795 of the family's 1533-position model. The record is from RNAcentral.